GGCCUACACAUGCAAGUCGAACGGUAACAUAGAGGAGCUUGCUUUUCUGAUGACGAGUGGCGCACGGGUGCGUAACGCGUAUACAAUCUACCUUUUACAGAGGGAUAGCCCAGAGAAAUUUGGAUUAAUACCUCAUAGUAUUGUUUUAUGGCAUCAUAAAGCAAUUAAAGAUUUAUCGGUAAAAGAUGAGUAUGCGUUCUAUUAGCUAGAUGGUGUGGUAACGGCACACCAUGGCAACGAUAGAUAGGGGCCCUGAGAGGGGGAUCCCCCACACUGGUACUGAGACACGGACCAGACUCCUACGGGAGGCAGCAGUGAGGAAUAUUGGACAAUGGAGGCAACUCUGAUCCAGCCAUGCCGCGUGCAGGAAGACUGCCCUAUGGGUUGUAAACUGCUUUUAUACAGGAAGAAACCGCUCUACGUGUAGAGUUCUGACGGUACUGUAAGAAUAAGGAUCGGCUAACUCCGUGCCAGCAGCCGCGGUAAUACGGAGGAUCCAAGCGUUAUCCGGAAUCAUUGGGUUUAAAGGGUCCGUAGGUGGAUAAUUAAGUCAGAGGUGAAAGUCUGCAGCUCAACUGUAGAAUUGCCUUUGAUACUGGUUAUCUUGAGUCAUUAUGAAGUAGUUAGAAUAUGUAGUGUAGCGGUGAAAUGCAUAGAUAUUACAUAGAAUACCAAUUGCGAAGGCAGAUUACUAAUAAUGUACUGACACUGAUGGACGAAAGCGUGGGGAGCGAACAGGAUUAGAUACCCUGGUAGUCCACGCCGUANACGAUGGUUACUAGCUGUUCGGUUUUCGGACUGAGUGGCUAAGCGAAAGUGAUAAGUAACCCACCUGGGGGAGUACGUUCGCA
This 851-nucleotide ribosomal RNA is filed under the name uncultured marine bacterium. RNAcentral describes it as "bacterial SSU rRNA". It matches the Rfam family "Bacterial small subunit ribosomal RNA", at positions 45 to 890 of the family's 1533-position model. The record is from RNAcentral.